RNAcentral lists this non-coding RNA (85 nucleotides) under Hyphomicrobiales bacterium. RNAcentral's name for it is "Rhizobiales bacterium Glycine sequence". It matches the Rfam family "Glycine riboswitch aptamer". From Rfam's summary of the family: This family represents the bacterial glycine riboswitch. The record is from RNAcentral. Lineage: Bacteria; Pseudomonadati; Pseudomonadota; Alphaproteobacteria; Hyphomicrobiales.
NAUGUCUCUGCGGGAGAGACUAACUUUAGCGCCGAAGGAGCAACCGCCCUCGGAAACUCUCAGGCAAAAGGACCGCAGAAAUAUU